AGAGUUUGAUCCUGGCUCAGGAUGAACGCUGGCGGCGUGCUUAACACAUGCAAGUCGAACGAACGACUAUUAACAGAACCUUUCGGGGCGAAGAUGAUAGAAGUUAGUGGCGGACGGGUGCGUAACGCGUGGGUAAUCUGCCUUUGUCAAAGGAAUAACUAUUCGAAAGAAUAGCUAAAACCGUAUAACAUAUUAAUAGGGCAUCCUAAUAAUAUCAAAACGAUAGUGGACAAAGAUGAGCCCGCGUCUGAUUAGCUAGUUGGUGAGAUAAAAGCCCACCAAGGCAACGAUCAGUAGCCGACCUGAGAGGGUGAACGGCCACAUUGGAACUGAGACACGGUCCAAACUCCUACGGGAGGCAGCAGUGGGGAAUAUUGCACAAUGGGGGGAACCCUGAUGCAGCAACGCCGCGUGAGUGAAGAAGGCAUUCGUGUCGUAAAACUCUGUAGUAGGGGAAGAAAGAAAUGACAGUACCCUAAAAGAAAGCCCCGGCUAACUACGUGCCAGCAGCCGCGGUAAUACGUAGGGGGCAAGCGUUAUCCGGAAUAACUGGGCGUAAAGGGUGCGCAGGUGGUUUAACAAGUUAGUGGUGAAAGGCAUAGGCUCAACCAAUGUAAGCCAUUAAAACUGUUUAACUUGAGUGCAGGAGAGGAAAGUGGAAUUCCUAGUGUAGCGGUGAAAUGCGUAGAUAUUAGGAGGAAUACCAGUGGCGAAGGCGACUUUCUGGACUGUAACUGACACUGAGGCACGAAAGCGUGGGGAGCAAACAGGAUUAGAUACCCUGGUAGUCCACGCCGUAAACGAUGAGUACUAGGUGUCGGGUGAAGAACUCGGUGCCGAAGUUAACACAUUAAGUACCCCGCCUGGGGAGUACGCUCGCAAGAGUAAAACUCAAA
RNAcentral lists this ribosomal RNA (896 nucleotides) under uncultured bacterium. RNAcentral's name for it is "bacterial SSU rRNA". It matches the Rfam family "Bacterial small subunit ribosomal RNA", at positions 8 to 905 of the family's 1533-position model. The record is from RNAcentral.